RNAcentral lists this ribosomal RNA (442 nucleotides) under uncultured bacterium. RNAcentral describes it as "partial 16S ribosomal RNA". It matches the Rfam family "Bacterial small subunit ribosomal RNA", at positions 338 to 794 of the family's 1533-position model. The record is from RNAcentral.
CCUACGGGAGGCAGCAGUGGGGAAUUUUGGACAAUGGGCGAAAGCCUGAUCCAGCGACGCCGCGUGGAGGACGAAGGUCUUCGGAUUGUAAACUCCUUUUGCAGGGGACGAAAAAAAUGACGGUACUCUGCAAAUAAGCCACGGCUAACUACGUGCCAGCAGCCGCGGUAAUACGUAGGUGGCGAGCGUUACUCGGAAUCACUAGGCGUAAAGCGCGUGUAGGCGGUAUUUUAAGUCUGUUGUGAAAUCUUAGGGCUCAACUGGGAGAGGUCGUUUCAGACUGCCCGGCUUGAGGGUCGGAGAGGGACGUGGAAUUCCCGGUGUAGCGGUGAAAUGCGUAGAGAUCGGGAGGAACACCAGUGGCGAAGGCGGCGUCCUGGCCGACACCUGACGCUGAAGCGCGAAAGCGUGGGGAGCGAACGGGAUUAGAUACCCCUGUAGU